This 554-nucleotide small RNA is filed under the name Histoplasma capsulatum var. duboisii H88. RNAcentral describes it as "Histoplasma capsulatum H88 hypothetical RNA". Lineage: Eukaryota; Fungi; Ascomycota; Eurotiomycetes; Onygenales; Ajellomycetaceae. The record is from RNAcentral.
UUUAUUCGCCGUUGGUGGCACAGGUGCUAACCGUUGCGUCUGUCUCUUCUAUCACUUCUAAUUAACACUACUUUUGCCCUCCACCACUCAAGUUACAAAGUUAGGGUGUCCGAUCGAUUUAACAGAUUACAUCUCCAUUUUGUCUGGCGCAGUCGUCCUGUACUCAUCUUGUUCUUCCGAAAGAGCUAUCAAUGGCCUCCGGCCGCGUACUCUACAACCAAAUCACACUAUUAUUGCCUUAAACUUAUUUUCUUGAAUAAUGUCGAUUGCCUGCUGUUAGUCUGCAGGGGAAAUCCACCAAGCUUCCACCUACGGGAAUGAUACAAUGAACGCGGACAACAGUCGAUGCCCAAUUUAGGAGAUGCUGAAACAGCAACUCCCUGGUUUCGCGAACGUCGUAAUGGCGUCUAUAUUUGCAGACGUGCACGUUUCUUCUCACUAGUACAUUGCUUCACAGAUGACAAGAUUAUCUGAUAUUUUGAUAUUGCGCGGGCAAUAUAUCUAUUUUCAUACCUCCAAGCCACAUGUCAGUUUGUUGACAUCCAACGAAACAC